Cyanistes caeruleus (blue tit) is the source of this 1725-nucleotide long non-coding RNA. The record is from Ensembl. NCBI's taxonomy places the organism in Eukaryota, Metazoa, Chordata, Aves, Passeriformes, Paridae.
AUUCCAGCUGAGGCUGCUGCAAAGUGACUCCAGUUCUAAAACCAGCUCUGGAAAAGGUCCUGUGCAUCAGCACUGAGGCACAGCUCAAACAACGAGGAGUUUCUUUGUGCCAAGCGGAUUAAAAAUACCCAAACCAACCCAACCAAACAACUCACGGAUUCUAUCGUCGUCUGAAAGGGAAAAGAAACAUUUUUAUUCAGUGCCACAAAAUUUGCAUCAAUAACAAGUCCAGUAGCACACCAGGAAAUUUCCACAUGAGUAAACUCCACUCACUGCAAAAAGGCUUGUAUCCACUCCUGGAAUUUAAUGGUUCAGCUGGCAUGUGAAAGCUGUUAUUUGGAGGUUUAAUUAUUAAGAUCAAAUUAAAUUUCAGCUAUUGCAGCAAUGAGCAGAUGCCAGCUGAGGGAUUCCUUGCUGGGGAAUGCUGGAGAGGAUUUUGGUGUAUCCACAUGGGAGCCUCCCUGCUAGGAGGAUGCUCAGAAGGCAUUGUGCCUUGGAUAAUGAACUAUUCAGGAGUUCUGGGAGUCCCAGGGAUGCCUUUUCCUGGUUAUGAAUUACUCCUGGUGAAAUCUGGCAAUGAACUGCCUCACGGUGACCUGUGGAGUUCCUGGUCAAUGAGGGGCUGCUGGAAUGAAGGGAAUGCUCCACUUCAUGGCUAUGGAGCUUUUCCUUCCCCCAGCAGGAGCUCUGGCUGGGACUUGUAAUGGAAAGUGUGAAGACUUGUGCAGAUGAAGAGCAAAGAGAACAAAGACCCUCCAAAACUCACUCUGUCUUUCCAACCAACCCCACAGAAUUUGUCUGUGAGCUUUCAUAGUUUUUGAAUUGCCAGCCACAAAAAACUUUUAAUUCUUUUUGGCCAGGCUGUGAGUGCACUCAGAGGGUGGAGCAGAUGAGGAGACACAGGUUUGGGGAAGCAGAACACAGAACUAUUUGCUUUCUGGAAGGCUGGAGUGAGGUCUUGGGGGAAAUCUGCCUCACACAGAGACUUGACAAGAGCCAUGAGGCUCUGGAUCAUCCUCCCCUGGACUGCCCAGGCAUGGGAACUCCAUCCCUCUGUCCCACAGGGCCAAACUGCAGACCCCCCAGCCUUCCCCAAACACCUGCAUCCAGGGCAUUUAGGAGCUGAUUCCCCAGGGCAGGGCUGCACUUUGGGCAUUUGUUCUCCCUUUACAGCUCAGCUGCCACGAUGCAACAAAGACAAUGGUUUGGAUGGACACAAAAUCCAUUUCUGGUGUGUGCAGUGCAAGUGUGGAGGAAUUCCUGUUGGCCUGAACCAUCCGCUCUCCUGUGAGCACCUGACACUGCACAGAGCCAAAGGUGGGAUCACUACAAGGGGAUCUUCUCUUCCUCCUGCUCUCUUCAUCAUCACAGGAAAUGUCAAGAUUUUCCACACAGGCACCUCUUUCCCCUGUGCACCCAUCUUGAGAGAGAGAAAAUGGUCAUGUGCCACUUGACCAAAGCAGGGGCUUUGCAAACACACCAAACACUGGAAGUUUGGUAGAAAGAAGCAGCAAAUCUCUUUUUUAUCUUAGUUUUAUCUUCACCAAACCUUCUCUGAACAACUCUGCACCCCCUUCUGCAUUAAUUUCCUCAAGCUGGGUAUCUCAAUGGCUUCUGACUUGCAGAGCAGCUCCUGCUGGUCCAGCUUCUUCUGCCUGCAAGGAAAUAAGUUUUCUGCCAGGAUUUUUGUUUUUCUGGGGCUCAGAGCAUGGCUGGGGCCCUGUG